GAUGGAGGAUGGAGAUCUCCUGGGGACAUCUGGUAACCCUGGGGCUGAAUUUGUAUAGUUCUUCUCAACUGGGACUCUGAAAGAGGACUGUUCCUUCGUAUGAGGCAGGGAGUGAUGGCAGUCAUGAAAAUGCCACAGGUCAACCUAACUGAAGCAGAUAAAGAAGGAGGAAUAUUUAUUACAAGGUAGAAACUAUGAGGUAGAGAAGAGACUGAAAGUGCCCUCCUCAUCCAAGAUGCACAUGGCUCCCAGACUCCCUCUCCUUCUGGAUUCAAGCCCCAAACACAUUCCCAGCCUGCCCUCCUGGAGUCUCGUGGACCAUGCAAAGUGUUAUCAAAGCACCCUGGAGCUGAAACUGACCAAAGUCACAAAGCCCUGAAGGAGCUACAUUUGCCAUCAAUAACAGCAUCUGAGGGGAUCGAUGCCUGGCUGGGUCACACAAUCAAAAGAUGGACAACUUCAGUGACUUUAGAUUAUUCAAGAGUCGAUUUGCCCAAAGAUUAGUGAAAGGAGCUAAAAUGACUUGGAAAGAGAUUUUCCUGCAUCUCUACUUUCAAUACCUUGUCAGUUUGCAUAUUUCUCUCAGAAAAUUUUAAAAUUAAAAGACUACUUUUAAAAAAGGUAUUUAAAAAUGUAUUGUAAAAGUUUAAAUAAAUUUGCCAAUUGCUUGGGAUCUCUAGCC
Molecule: long non-coding RNA, 682 nt
Organism: Marmota flaviventris (yellow-bellied marmot)
Lineage: Eukaryota; Metazoa; Chordata; Mammalia; Rodentia; Sciuridae
Source: RefSeq, a predicted model, not a curated record